Molecule: long non-coding RNA, 714 nt
Filed under: Oryza sativa aromatic subgroup
Lineage: Eukaryota; Viridiplantae; Streptophyta; Magnoliopsida; Poales; Poaceae
Description: lncRNA OsARC_11g0006930
Source: RNAcentral
AACUCACUCUUACACCUACAUUACUCAUUCAUCAAAUCAAACGGCUCAUAUUUCUCUACCCCGAUCGAACGAUCAAGAUCAGCUCCGCCUCUCUUCCGCGUGCCGAUCGCUCGUCACGGCUCCAUUUCCGCGCCUUCCCUGCUAACCCCCCGCACACAUCACGCCCUCACGGCCUCACCCCUCCCUGCCGCAUCUUCAACCCCCAACUCACGCAUCGCCCCCCUCCUCUCUCCCGGACUCCCCGUCGUGAGCCGCCAGGUCGCCGUCACCACACGCCGCUCCUCUCCCCACUCGCCGGAGGAACUCUCUCCAAACCCUAACCCUAACCUCCUCUCUCUCCACGAAUCCGCCCUGCACGCCGUCGCGCGCCGCUCCCCUCCCCACUCGCCAGUUUCCUCCACGUCUCACCUGAUCUCCACCUCGAAAUCCGCCACCGGAGCAGCGUUGGGUCGUCGCCCUCGGUGGCUCAUGUCGCACUGUCACCCACCUUCGCGCCGCCACCGGUCUCCUCCGCACGAACGAAGGAUGGCGCUUGACCCUGGAUGAGGAGCGGAUGUCCUGCUCAACGAGAACUACCGUGGAUGCAAUUUUUCUUUCAGUUUUGGUGACUUCAGUGCUGCAAUUUUAUGAGAUUUUCCGUUGUUUGUGAUCAGUAAGCAAGCAUGUACUAAUCAGUUGGUGGCACUGAGCAUGGCUCUUUCUUUUUAGAUCAGA